GCCCCUGGCGCGAGCCGCCCCUUCGUUCGACCCCGCAGGCGCGCGGGCUCUCGACUUCGCCCAGUGGGGGCCGCGGGUCUCGCGCUGGUGGGCGCUCGGAGCUCCGGCUCCCUGCAGCUGGGGGCAGGGGCCGCUGGUUUUCGUUUUGACCUCACUGUCGCUGGGCGCGUCCCAGCCCUUGGUCCAGGGCUUACCCUCACGGCGCUUGAUACGAACACACAGAUUUUUGACCCGGGUUGUCUCCAGAGGAUGCUCAGAAGAACAUUCGCACGACUGGAGCCAGGGAGAUGCAGAUGCAGCACCAAGUCCCAGAGGGAACACUAUGGGCCAAACGGCAGUGUGCAUGGCAGGAUGGUGUACAUGGCUCAACCCAAGGCCUCUCAGGAAUACGUCAAAAAGCCCCAAGAGAAGUUUACAGCAAUCUGAAGUAAAUGAAAAUGAAAACACAACUUACAAAAUUCAUGGAAUGCCAAGGAAACAGUGCCAAGAGGGAAAUCUGUAGCAUUAGAUGCACACGGUGAGAAACAUUUGACAAAAUCCAAUACCCAUUCGUGAUUAAAACUCAAAACCUGGGAAUGAAGGAGAAUUUCCUUAACUUGAUAAAGAUCAUCAAAAAUGCUCAGCUAACAUCAGACAAUGGGGAGAGACUAGAUAUCUUCCUCCGCAAUCAGGAGCAAGACACUCUUCUCUCCCUACUCCUCCUCAGUAUUGUACUAGAAAUCCAGGCUAACAAAAUAAGACAAGAAGAAUAAAAUAUGUGCAAUUGGGAAGAAAAAAAUAGAAUUGUCUUAUUUGUAGAUGGCGUGACUAUGUAGGAAACCCCAAAGAAUUAACAAUAAAAGUCCUGGAACUAAUCGAGAAUUAUGGCAACAGUCCAGGAUACACGGUUAAUUUAUGAUAGUCACUUGCUUCCUAUUUACUAGGAAUAGACAAGGGUAAAUUAACAUUUAAUACACAAUACCACUUACAUUAGCACCACAAGAAAUGAAAUACUUAGGUAUAAAUCUACAAAUAUGUACAGGAUCUACAUGAGAA
This 1035-nucleotide long non-coding RNA is filed under the name Heterocephalus glaber (naked mole-rat). RNAcentral's name for it is "lncRNA (ENSHGLG00100034454.1)". The record is from RNAcentral. Lineage: Eukaryota; Metazoa; Chordata; Mammalia; Rodentia; Bathyergidae.